GCCAAAAAGAACUAAGUUUAGACUGGUUUUAGAGGUAGCCGAAAUUACUUCAUGCCAAAUUAAAAUACGUUUAGGCAAAUUAAAACACAAAUUAAAAUACCUUUAGGUAAAUUAAAACACGUUGAAACAAAGAAAUUAAAAUAGGUUUAAGUUCGCCAAAAGGAACUGUGUUUAGACUGGUUUUAGAGGUAGCCGAAUACUUCGUGACAAAUUAGCGCGCAAAUGUCUGUGUGUGUGUGUGUGUGUGUGUGUGUCUGGAAGUAAGUUGAUUUUACAGCACAAUACGCUGCUAAACUACAUGAUGGAGAAGCUAUAUUGAAUAUGAAAGUGCAAGUCUUUGCCACUGUGGGCAAAGCACGCAACCACUGUGUGAGGUUGCGUUGCGGUCUCUUCUGAGCUGAUGAGCAAGCUACACAUUAUCAGAUCGGGAGCUGGCUGAGAACUCAUCAAAGAGAGGGAAACAGAACUAUGAUAACUCGAGUAUGUAGCGUAUCCGUGAGUUCAGCUUCUUCAGGCAGUUUUCCUGUAUCUUGACUCGUAUGUAGAGUGUUCAUAGCAUCAGCAUCAUGUUUUUGUUUAUUUGUUUUGUUGGGUUGAAAAAUAACUAUAUAAACUUGUGAUCAUACUUAUGGAUCACCAUGGCACAUAUCAUCAGCCAUAUGAUUAUUUAUGCAGAUGAAAAAAGUGAGUGUGAAUGUGUCUGACGUCACAGUGUGUGUGUGCGUUGUGUAAAAGUAAUUGCCUCCAAUUGUGAGAGCGGUGAUUCUGCAGGUCACCAUGUAAAAAAAAAAAAAAAAGAGGAAAAAAGAGGAAAAAAUUUACAUUGUAGAUGAAAAAUAAUCAUACAAAAAAGGUUUUGUGUUUAUCAGCCAAGAACAACUACAAUCUCAUUUUCUGCUUUUAAGAAAGGAGAGUUAAAAAAAAACAGAGAGAGAGAGAGAUGUGUGUUUGUUAAGCAGUAAUAAUAAUAAUGAAAAUGUCUUAGUUUGUCACUUUCAGAUGAAAAGCAGACCCAUCAUCCUGAUUGAUUGGAUGAAUGGCACUGUGUUUCCAACAAGCUGCAAAUUCACUGUGCUUGUGAAAAGAACGUUUGAGGAGACUGUUGGAGUUUGACAUUUGCCACCUUUGGAGAAAAUGGCAAGAAGAGACAGUGGAACACAGGACAAAGCUGAAGGACAACUGCCGGCUAUUGGACUGUUGAAGUGGGAGAGGACAACAGAGUGAGAGUAAGUGAGAAUGCUGCGGUUUAAUGUGGGAAAUCAAAAUUGGGUUAGCAAACCUGGGAAAAAGAAAACUGACUGCUUAAGUGAGAAAUUGUGAAGGAAUCUGAAACACUGCAAAAAGAUACAUAUACAAAAUCACACACACAAGCAGAACAUCCAUUAACCCUACUAACACAAACACAAGAGAGCUUAUGAAGAUUAGACAACAUCUUGAGCAUGUGAGUCUGUUUAUCAUCUUGUCCAAGUCACCUCGUGUGAUGCAAAGAUCAGUGGACUCAUAGCACAUUAGUUAAGAAAGGAUCAAAUAAUAGCAGAGAAGUGUGUAGGAAAGGCAGCUUUAAGAACAUGCCCUGCUGGAGAUUUACCUUUUAAAUGCCACUUUCUGUGUCUGUGAAUCUACCAGGGGGUGUUAUUCACUACCUUGUGUUGCUCACACUGUGACAAAGUGUGUAUACACCUGCGCAGCGCUAACAUUUGCAUUUUCUUUUCUCCAGCGUUACAGUUCUUCAUGUGUUUGAUUAUGUGAGUUACAGCAGGACACACUAAUGGUUAAUGUUCUUUCUACUACAGGAUUUCUGGGUUUAUGUGUGAAGAAAACUGUGUUUACAGGUUAUGAGUUGGUGAUGCUGUUACACUGUGUUUUGGGGAAAAUGUUGAAGGUUACUUUGACAUUGUGAAUAACUUGUGAGAAAUUUCCUGUGUUGAAACUAGUGUCACUUCUUUCCACAGCUAUGAAUGGCUAACUUUAUGGUCUUUUUAUAGCACCUCUGGAACCUGUCAACUUGUGACUGACCUCCAGGAUUGUCCAUGUGUGUUGCAAAUGUUUGUUUUUUCUAAGAGUGCAUGUAGAGGAUUCAGCAGAGAUGGGCAAGUAACAUGAGAAAGCACAUGAGAGAUACAGUGUUUAUGGAAUAGUUUAAUAUGGGGCUCAUUAGCUGGCCACUAUUGAGCUCCUAGUGAUAGAUGAGAGGAGUGACUUUGCUUAAGGGAAGUCACCGAUUACAUUAAUGUUAACUGAGUACAUGGGAUGAUCCAUGUUUGGGGUGAAUUAUGGCAAUAAUUGUAGUUUACUGAUUUGAGAAAACCUGCUCAUGAUACUUGUCCUGCUGGUGCUGAAUGCUUUAUUACUCUUAUUAUACAAUUGUUUACCAGUGUGAUGUUUGAUUUCACUUCCAGAUCUUGUUUUCCAGGCCAUGAUGGUGUGUAUGCAGGCUCCAGACAGAGCCAGGUUUUAAGCAAACUUAAUAUGAAAAACACACUAACAUCUUUUAUUGCAGGGAUUAUAGGUCCGGGGGUGGUGCUGCUCCAGAGGAGGAGACGCCCUGAUGUUGCCUGGGACGUGAUCUAGCUAACCUUUUUCUUUAAGACAGGAAUCUGGUUUUGAUGAGUUGACUCAUGGGAGUGUCCAUGCGUCAAGAGGAGGGGUCCAGGAUUAACAUGAAACAUCCAGGAUUAACAUGAAACAAUGUUUUCUAUGAUUUUUGCAGUGAUUUGUGUGAUUAACAGUUCAUUUACGGGUAUUGAACCUAUGCAAGUGGUGCAUCCAUGUUCGGAUGAGGCUUUGAUGGUCCAUAAAUGAAGCUCACUGAACUAAAGAAUGUGGUUUGAUGAUGGUUGACAUGUUUUCCAAAUAGAAGUUUUUCCUCCUAGCAAAGAAAUACAGGUGCAGCAGUCAGAGUAUGGCUGAAAGGCAUCUCCUGAGAAAUCUUCAGAGGCCCAGUGAGAAGUAAGAACCAUUCCAGGCAUAGCUGACAGCCCAGGCAGUGGUUGAGGUCAAAGGUCGAGCUGUUUGGGGCCCAUCAUGAGAUUAGACUUUGGAGCCACAGCAAGGACCAUGAAGCUGCGUUGGAAUGAGAGCUUGUGGAUAACAGACGGGCACCUGAAGGAUGAGGGGAGCGUGCCAAGCUCCAUCGAAAGCGCAGAGAGAGCUCGAGGAUGACAUCAUGAUUCUGUGAAAAGCACAGGAACCAGAAGCUAUGGUGGUGAUGACAGCAAUUUCCUAUGAACAACACCUAAUGCUGUGUCACUGUACUAUGCAGACGAUGACACUCUGAAGACUGCUGGGAUCAUAACAGCAGUAAGAUAACUGGACCCAGCACCCUUCCCACAGAGGGUUUUCCUGCAGAGGAUGGACAAUGGAGGAGUCAUAUGUAUCCCCCACAGGACAAGAAGGCCUGAAGUGAGGUGAUGGGGGUUGGUAGAAGCCAUAAAACUUGAGUGCUGACGAGGCCUGCAGUUUUCAAGAUAACUGAGACCCACGUUGACAAACAACAAAACCACCUGUGAUCUGGAGGGAAAUGGCGAGCAGGAGGGCAGCCAGGUGACAUGUCUGAGCUAUUGUUAUUUUCAGAAUACAGAAGAGAGGCGUCGGGCAGAGAAUGCAGGAGGGUAAGUGUUCAGCUAUUGCGUUAUUGGGGGAGCAGACCAGCGUCAGUGAAACCAAAAGAACAACAGGUUAGUUUGAAUGCUGAUCCCAAACAACAGAAACUGGAGACACAAGGAAACGUGAGGUUAACAGAAGGAGUAACAACGUAAGAGCUAAACAUGAAGCCAGCAUGGGGUAGCAGACGAUGGCAGCGGGUGGAAAUCUGAGCUGGUCUUAAAUAGAGAUCCGUUAAUUACUACUGAUGGAUCACAGUUGAGAGGAGACAGAAGUAGAAGCAGAACUCUGCUCUGGAAGGGCAGAACCUAGACACAGGAACUGCAGUGGAAAAAUCACCCCAAACAUGUGACACUCAAUCUACACACUCUAUGUCUAUGCACAGAUUUGACAGAAGAACCCAAAAUGCAGAAUAACACCUGCUAGGGCUGUUUUUUGUGGUAUUUUGGUUGUUCCUGUUUGAAUUUGUUUAAGGACCAUCCUGUGGCUUUAUGACGCACACAUGAAAAUCACACAUAGUCACAGCUGGUGGGAACUUAAAAGUAACAGAACUGUUCAGGUUGCAAAUUUUAAAGAAGAAAGAGAAAAAAAACAGUACAGCACACUUCUGCACUGGCUUCAGUUUUGGACCUUAGGGGCGAUCGUGGCUCAAGAGUUUGGAGUUCGCCUUGUAAUCAGAAGGUUACCGGUUCGAGCCCUGGCUUGGACAGUCUCGGUCGUUGUGUCCUUGGGCAAGACACUUCACCCGUUGCCUACUGGUGGUGGUCAGAGGGCCCGGUGGCGCCAGUGUCCGGCAGCCUCGCCUCUGUCAGUGCGCCCCAGGGUGGCUGUGGCUACAACGUAGCUUGCCAUCACCAGUGUGUGAAUGUGUGCGUGAAUGGGUGAAUGACUGGUGAAAGCGCCUUGGGGUCCUUAGGGACCAUAAAGGCGCUAUAUAAAUACAGGCCAUUUACCAUUUACCUAAAGGCCGUUUUAUGGUUUCUGCCGGCGUAUUCAAAACCUACUACUGUUAGGUAAAUUAUUUUACACACAUAAAAACAACUUUAAAAUAAAGUUUUAAAAAAUGAACGAGACUAAAUGAUCCAACUGGAUUAUGAUUAAUGUUAUACCUGUAUCCUUAGUUCAUGUACAGUUCUACACUUAAUACAACUGACUGUUCAGUGCAGGCAUCUGUAAUCCUGAGUCAGUUCUCCCAUUAGUAAAACUAAACUACUUUUUCUCACAGGAGUGAGAAACAAAUCUUCUCUGCCACUCUCUCUGUCUCACUCUUUCCUCCUCAUGUAUGCAGAGCUGCACUAGUGCAAUCCUAAUGACCUGUCUGUGCAACCACACAAUUAACAGUGAGGAUUAUGCCGUGUGGACAGGGAAACAUGAUUCAUGUGCAAAAUGAAAUUACAGUAAUCCCCACCCUCAUUAAAGACAGCAGUUGCCGGUUCCGAACAGCUUUACAGUUUGUUCUUGUUGUAUAAGUUGCUCUCUCUGCAUUUUACACAUAGAGAUAUUCAGUUGCAAAGAUUUAAGUGAGAUAAGAUUCUUAUAUACUUGCUUUACUUUAUUCUACUUUAUUCUACUUUCAAUGUGUUCAUUAAAGUGUAAAAUUAACAUUUUUCACUUUCAUUAUCCACACUGUGGUCUGCUCCACGCUGUCUCUUUGUCACUGGAAUAUAAUGGUUCCUGCUGUAAGUGGUCGAGAACAAAUAAUCUUAAAACCUUAUGCUCUUCAUGCACAGACCUGCAUACUUCUGGAAAACAGGUUAAAGCUUCCAGUCAGCACAAGAGAAUCAUGGAUCCCAACGGUUCUCAGUUGUGUGACGCAUGUACAGAAAGAGUUCAGAGUGUUAUUAUAGUCAUGUCAUAUGCAAUCUCUUUAAGUUUUCUGAUGUGCAGCACUGUCAGAAUUCAACUCUGUGUCCUCAUGGCAUUAGACAUCUAGCUUGCAACAUUAUAUAAUUUUUAAAAGGAAAUAUAAGCCAUGAGAAACGUUUUCUCUUAGUGUCACAGGAUAUGUGGGCAGGUAAAAUCCUAGCUAUCUAACUUGGCAACGUGUGGUCACUGCAGCUUUGUGUAAGACAUUAUAUUUCGUCAUUGGAUAGUUGUGGUUUC
This is a long non-coding RNA of Oreochromis aureus, 5706 nucleotides long. The record is from Ensembl. Lineage: Eukaryota; Metazoa; Chordata; Actinopteri; Cichliformes; Cichlidae.